GAUGAACGCUAGCGGGAGGCCUAACACAUGCAAGCCGAGCGGUAUUUGUUCUUCGGAACAGAGAGAGCGGCGCACGGGUGCGGAACACGUGUGCAACCUGCCUUUAUCUGGGGGAUAGCCUUUCGAAAGGAAGAUUAAUACCCCAUAAUAUAUUGAGUGGCAUCAUUUGAUAUUGAAAACUCCGGUGGAUAGAGAUGGGCACGCGCAAGAUUAGAUAGUUGGUGAGGUAACGGCUCACCAAGUCAAUGAUCUUUAGGGGGCCUGAGAGGGUGAUCCCCCACACUGGUACUGAGACACGGACCAGACUCCUACGGGAGGCAGCAGUGAGGAAUAUUGGACAAUGGGUUAGCGCCUGAUCCAGCCAUCCCGCGUGAAGGACGACGGCCCUAUGGGUUGUAAACUUCUUUUGUAUAGGGAUAAACCUACUCUCGUGAGAGUAGCUGAAGGUACUAUACGAAUAAGCACCGGCUAACUCCGU
RNAcentral lists this ribosomal RNA (478 nucleotides) under uncultured bacterium. RNAcentral describes it as "partial 16S ribosomal RNA". It matches the Rfam family "Bacterial small subunit ribosomal RNA", at positions 28 to 506 of the family's 1533-position model. The record is from RNAcentral.